RNAcentral lists this long non-coding RNA (2039 nucleotides) under Heterocephalus glaber (naked mole-rat). RNAcentral's name for it is "lncRNA (ENSHGLG00000029808.2)". The record is from RNAcentral. Lineage: Eukaryota; Metazoa; Chordata; Mammalia; Rodentia; Bathyergidae.
CGAACUGCUGCACCCCGGGUCCUGGACCCACAGAGAGGCUGUGACCUCCUAGCACGCCUCACCAGCCCCCUUGCCUGAUCCUUCACCAAAUCUCCUCUUUCUUGGCCUUGGAGCUUCAUGAAGAAGGAGGUCUGAGAGCCCCCCCAUACGCAUCAUCCCAGAAAAGUCUAGGCCCCUUCUAUUCAUUGGUAUUUUUUUUCCCUUUCAUUCAACAAGAAAUUAGUGCAUGUCAGCAUGUGCCAGGCACGAGCAAGGCCGGGAGGCAGGAAGAGGGGCGGCCCCAGGCUACAGGGACCAGCCAGCCCCAUCCCUACCCCCUCUCCUUCUCGCCUGACUCAGCCGACAGCAGGAUGGGAAUAAAGGGCGCCCCACCAGCGUCCUCCAAUUUCCCGCUAUUCAGCUCAGACCUGAGUAGCAGCAGGCAGCCGAAAGGAUUUGCAGGUCAGCAGCCACUUGGCUCUGGAAGCAGCUGCAGAUGUGUGGCCACACCAGCACCAGGGGACCCUAUUCUGCAUCUAUGCUGGGCUGGAAGACUGCAAAACCACUUGGCAGAAGACAUAAAUGAGAAAUCCUGUACCAAGUAAGGAUGAAAAGAAGAAUUGGAAACAAGUAUGCAAUCGGCCACCAACUAUCGAAUGGAAGCAAUAAAAAAGAACUCAACCAGGGCCGGGGAUUUAGCCCAAUGGUUCUGCCGCCUGCCUUGCAAGUGCAAGGAUCCAAGUUCGAUCCCUGGUACCAAAAAAAAAUUGUUUGUGCAAAAAGAACUCAACCCUACCCAUGCUCAUGCCUACACACUCUCGCACACCUUCCCUCUCUCUCCCUCAGAGGGACUCAGUUCCAAGGUGUGAAUACACCAAGUCUGCCCUCCUCAGGGCUGCCGUGCAUGUCAGAUGAGAAGAUGCAGGGAUGGUGCCUGCAGACGUGAACACACUCCACGCAUGUGGAUGAAGUAUCACUUGACCCCAAUUCUUCUCUCAGGGAGAAGGAAGCUCCUGCUGGGUCCUGAAGCUUCUUAGUUUUCUAGUUAGUUUCCUUUUGUUCCUCUCCAAAGCUCUGCUUACCCAGGAGAAUAAUGUCAACACUUAUGAUGCCAUUUUAAUCAUCCCAGGGGCAUUGAUCAUUAUUAUGAAUCCCAAAAUAGCUGAGCUAUUCAUGUUUGACAGUGCGAUCAUGCAGGGCUAUACAUCAUGGAACCUUCAAUGGAGGAUAUGCCUUGGUUUUCCAUGCACCUUCUCAUCUGUCGUCUCACAGAGAGGAGGUAUUCUCCCGAUUAUAGGGGUCCAAAACCAGGGGCCAAGGUGGGUCUGAUCACUCACCAGCUGGAGGACUGUGCUGGAAGGAUGGGCGCAGGUCCCUUCUCUGUUUCAGCAUGAGAUUUGCACACUGAGGGAAGUGUACGGCACCCCCCCACACACACACACACACACACACUGUGGGCUCCAUCUUUUCUCCCUAGCAUUGAGGUUUAAGGUUCCCACCUCCUUCCCAGCCCUGUUUCCUGGUCCCACCACCUCCUCCCCUGGGUCUUGCUCAACAAUGACCUUUUGGCAUCUCUGCCUCUCCCUCUGCACAGCUUCCACCUUGCCUCCCUGACAGGUGUGUUCAUGCCCCGACCACAUACCACCUGCUCCAGACGGACGCCCUCUCUGUUGCCCUCCCUGGCUCAGAUGCUCCUGAAAGCAGAGUCCGGGAUCCAGGCCUAGGGACAGGCACAAACUUAAGUAUCUACAUGGGUUGAAUUGUGUCCUCCCCAAGGCUAUGCUCAAGGUCUAACCUCUCAUUCCUGUGGAUGGAUCUUACUUAGGAAGAGGACCAAGUCCAGAGGAGCUCCCAUAGUGCUUCAGUGGGCUCUAACCCACUGAUGGACUUCCUUAAAAGAAGGAAGAUUUGGACCCAGAAACACUUCGGGAGACCACAAAGGCCUCAUAUUGGAGUAAUGUAUCUAUAAGCCCAAGCAUAAAAAGGAUUGCCAGCAUCACCUGGAAGCCAGUAGAGAGGUCUGGCCCUGACUCUCCCAAGAGCCUUCGGAGGGAACCACC